ACUCAAAUGAAUUGACGGGGGCCCGCACAAGCGGUGGAGCAUGUGGUUCAAUUCGAAGCAACGCGAAGAACCUUACCAGCCCUUGACUUGGGGAGUGUGGGUCGCAGAAACGUGACCCUUCAGUUCGGCUGGCUCCCACACAGGUGCUGCAUGGCUGUCGUCAGCUCGUGUCGUGAGAUGUUGGGUUAAGUCCCGCAACGAGCGCAACCCUCAUCUUCAGUUGCCAUCGGUACGGCCGGGCACUCUGAAGAAACUGCCGGUGACAAGCCGGAGGAAGGCGGGGAUGACGUCAAGUCCUCAUGGCCCUUACGGGCUGGGCUACACACGUGCUACAAUGGCGGUGACAAUGGGAUGCAAGGGGGCGACCCUGCGCCAAUCUCAAAAAGCCGUCUCAGUUCGGAUUGCACUCUGCAACUCGAGUGCAUGAAGUCGGAAUCGCUAGUAAUCGUGGAUCAGCACGCCACGGUGAAUACGUUCCCGGGCCUUGCACACACCGCCCGU
This 501-nucleotide ribosomal RNA is filed under the name uncultured bacterium. Its description in RNAcentral is "partial 16S ribosomal RNA". It matches the Rfam family "Bacterial small subunit ribosomal RNA", at positions 899 to 1397 of the family's 1533-position model. The record is from RNAcentral.